Molecule: long non-coding RNA, 297 nt
Filed under: Glycine max (soybean)
Lineage: Eukaryota; Viridiplantae; Streptophyta; Magnoliopsida; Fabales; Fabaceae
Description: long non-coding RNA (GMAX_LNC001823)
Source: RNAcentral
UGGUGAAAGCUUGCUUGUGGGGCUUCUAUGGAGGCUGGAUCUUUAAGCUUCAAUGGGUUCCUUUAAUGGUGAUUUUCCACCAUGGAGAUGCAGCGGAAGACAAAGGAAAAGAGGUGAGAGGAGGCGCCAUCUAUUAAGGAAUAAGCCAUGGAAGAAGGAGCUUCAGCACCAAGAUGAGCCUUGGAUAAGAAGCUUGGAGAUGAUGUUUCAAUGGAGGAAAAGAAAGAGAGAAGGGGGGAGCACGAAAUUGAAGGAAUAAAAGAGGGAUAGAAGUAGAACUUUGAAGUGUGUCUCAUA